UUCUAACCGUAAACGAUGACAACCAGCGAUUAAUCGGCGUUAAUAUAUGACCCGAUUAGCAGCUUCCGGGAAACCAAAGUUUUUCGUUUCCGGGGGAAGUAUGGUUGCAAAGCUGAAACUUAAAGGAAUUGACGGAAGGGCACCACCAGGAGUGGAGCCUGCGGCUUAAUUUGACUCAACACGGGGAAACUCACCCGGCCCGGACACCGUAAGGAUUGACAGACUGAGAGCUCUUUCUUAAUUCGGUGGGUGGUGGUGCAUGGCCGUUCUUAGUUGGUGGAGCGAUUUGUCUGGUUAAUUCCGAUAACGAACGAGACUCUGGCCUAUUAAAUAGACGAUAUAUUUAAAAGUAUAUCGCGCUUCUUAGAGGGACAAGCGGCGUCUAGCCGCAUGAAAUAGAGCAAUAACAGGUCUGUGAUGCCCUUAGAUGUCCGGGGCUGCACGCGCGCUACACUGAAAGAAUCAGUGGGCGUUCUACCUAGUUCGGAAGAACCGGGUAACCCAAGUAAAUUCUUUCGUGCUUGGGAUAGGGAAUUGCAAUUAUUUCCCUUAAACGAGGAAUUCCCAGUAAAUGCGGGUCAUUAGCUCGCGUUG
RNAcentral lists this ribosomal RNA (594 nucleotides) under cf. Thornenema sp. 803L-019. Its description in RNAcentral is "SSU rRNA". It matches the Rfam family "Eukaryotic small subunit ribosomal RNA", at positions 1024 to 1643 of the family's 1831-position model. The record is from RNAcentral. Lineage: Eukaryota; Metazoa; Nematoda; Enoplea; Dorylaimida; Dorylaimidae.